RNAcentral lists this unclassified non-coding RNA (172 nucleotides) under uncultured Ascomycota. RNAcentral describes it as "sequence contains ITS2". The record is from RNAcentral. Lineage: Eukaryota; Fungi; Ascomycota.
CAACCCUCAGGCCCACCCUUCCGGGGGAGCGGGCCUGGUGCUGGGGAUCGGCGGCCCUCGCGGCCCCCGUCCCUCAAAUUCAGUGGCGGUCGCGCCGCAGCCUCCCCUGCGUAGUAGCACAACCUCGCACCGGAGAGCGGAACGACCACGCCGUGAAACCCCAACUUCUGAA